This is a long non-coding RNA of Neopelma chrysocephalum (saffron-crested tyrant-manakin), 424 nucleotides long. RefSeq lists it as uncharacterized. The record is from RefSeq and is a predicted model, not a curated record. The transcript has 3 exons. Lineage: Eukaryota; Metazoa; Chordata; Aves; Passeriformes; Pipridae.
GUUUUAUCCAAUCUUAAGAAAGGAAGAACGUUGCAAUGAGGUCCUACCAGAGCACAGAAGACAAGAUCUGCCCAAGAGUACUGAGGCACCUGCCAGAAGAGUUCAUCAAGACACUUUCCAUCCUUUGCCAGCAGUCCUGCCUAACUGGGGAUGUCCCAGUGGACUGGAGAAAGCUGUGCAGCGCUCAAGACACAAGAAAGACAUUUUUUACUCUGGCACAAGGAAGACCUCUGUAAGUGGAACAGGAUGGGAUCCAGGCACUUAGCACAGUGAGGAAAAAUAUCCCAUGGAAGAAAAACACUCAGAACAAUAUUGCAUCCAUUCUGCUCACUGAAUUGAGGACUACCUGAUCUAGUUGAAGAUGUCUCUGCUAAUUGUGGGGGGGGUGGACUAGAUGACCUUUAAAUGUCCCUUCCAACACAAA